UACGUAGGGGGCAAGCGUUGUCCGGAUUUAUUGGGCGUAAAGAGCGUGUAGGCGGUUUGGUAGGUCCGCUGUGAAAACUCGAGGCUCAACCUCGAGACGCCGGUGGAAACCAUCAGACGUAGAGUCCGGAAGAGGAGAGUGGAAUUCCUGGUGUAGCGGUGAAAUGCGCAGAUAUCAGGAGGAACACCAAUGGCGAAGGCAGGUCUCUGGGCCACAACUGACGCUGAGGAGCGAAAGCGUGGGGAGCGAACAGG
RNAcentral lists this ribosomal RNA (254 nucleotides) under uncultured bacterium. Its description in RNAcentral is "partial 16S ribosomal RNA". It matches the Rfam family "Bacterial small subunit ribosomal RNA", at positions 524 to 776 of the family's 1533-position model. The record is from RNAcentral.